AUAGAUCAGACGACAGUGUGAACGCCGCUCUGGGAUUAUUCUGGAAACCACGAACUUGGAUUAAUGUGUCCGUGAUGAAACUAAGUGACCGUUUUCAGAAGUUCGAAACACAGGCGACUGGCUGUCAGCGUGCCAGGCUUUGACCAUAUCAGCACUGCUGACGUCACUGAUGGCGCUGGGCGUGUCGGCCAUCAUGGUGCGGGCAUCACGGGAGAAUACGCUGUCCGCAGCCAGAUACGGUACCAUUGCCACCAGCCUGUUUACAGGAGCAUCGAUAGUGACUUCUCUAGUUCUCUACUACGUUUGCAGUGAGGAGAAGUAUCCUCGAGAGUUCUACGGUCUAUCUUUGUCCUUUAUUUUGGUUGCUGUUGGCGGAGGCGUGUUUCUGUGUGUUGCCUCUCGUGCUGGGCAUUGACGCUGUGACCUCAAAACUACGUCACGUAAACGCCACGUCGUCGUGACCUCCGCCACUGGUUAGGGAUCGUGACCAGCGAAAUGUGUCUGUGACACUUUCUGCACUCUCUGAAAAAACAAACAGAAAGCCAACUCCAGCCAUUGUAACUGGCUGUCACCCUCGAUAUCCAUAUUGUUGUAUCUCUCCAGUCUAAGUAGAAGAAAGAAAGAAUUUAUAUGUCUGUUAAUCAUCAUCAUCAACAGCAACAACAACCUUGUCUUUAUCAUUUUCUCAUGUCUUGAAUGUUUUCUUGAUAUUUCACUGAUAGCAUCCUGAAGAAAGAUUUAUAUGUUAUAUCACUUUCACUGAGCUCUGUGUGUGCACGUGUGCGCGUGUGUGUGUGUGUUACUUAAUAUUGUUGAAGAUAUGAAUGUGAGUCAAAAGUCUGGAAUCAUCA
This 851-nucleotide long non-coding RNA is filed under the name Pomacea canaliculata. Its description in RNAcentral is "uncharacterized LOC112571292, transcript variant X2". Lineage: Eukaryota; Metazoa; Mollusca; Gastropoda; Architaenioglossa; Ampullariidae. The record is from RNAcentral.